RNAcentral lists this ribosomal RNA (466 nucleotides) under uncultured bacterium. RNAcentral describes it as "partial 16S ribosomal RNA". It matches the Rfam family "Bacterial small subunit ribosomal RNA", at positions 28 to 507 of the family's 1533-position model. The record is from RNAcentral.
GAUGAACGCUGGCGGCGUGCUUAACACAUGCAAGUCGAACGAUGAAGCCCAGCUUGCUGGGUGGAUUAGUGGCGAACGGGUGAGUAACACGCGAGUAACCUGCCCUUGACUCUGGGAUAAGCCUGGGAAACUGGGUCUAACACUGGAUAUGACUUCUCAUCGCAUGGUGGGGGGUGGAGAGAUUUAUUGGUUUUGUCUGGACUCGCGGCCUAUCAGCUUGGUGGUGAGGUAAUGGUUAACCAAGGCGAUGACGGGUAGCCGGCCUGAGAGGGUGACCGGCCACACUGGGACUGCGACACGGCCCAGUAUCCUACGGGAGGCAGCAGUGGGGAAUAUUGCACAAUGGGCGCAAGCCUGAUGCAGCGACGCCGCGUGAGGGAUGACGGCCUUCGGGUUGUAAACCUCUUUCAGUAGGGAAGAAGCGAGAGUGACGGUACCUGCAGAAGAAGCCCCGGCUAACUACGUG